Long non-coding RNA from Cygnus olor (mute swan), 2723 nucleotides. RefSeq lists it as uncharacterized. The transcript is spliced from 3 exons. NCBI's taxonomy places the organism in Eukaryota, Metazoa, Chordata, Aves, Anseriformes, Anatidae. The record is from RefSeq and is a predicted model, not a curated record.
CCGUGCACCAUCGCAGCACCACCAAGCACGAGGACGGUGCUGCCACUUUUCCCUGUAACAUUAUAUUCUACUCAUAGUGGUGCCACAGGAGCAGGCGCUGGGGCCAGAGAGGUGAAUUAUUCGUGCCCUGCUCUUUGCUUCAGUGGGUGUGACAAAGGGUGACGGGUGUGUGGCUUUGCAAACCCUGCCAGUAGCAGUGAUGCAGAUAUGCAGUUGUUCACCACCCUGAAUGACUACCAGCUCCCCCUGAAUUACGCGCAGGAAGGUCAGUGGGAGGUGUCGGACACAUGCAUCCUGCUCUGAGCAGAGCUGUUCCUGUAAAUCUUUCAUGGCAACAUCACUGGUCGACCCCUCAGGUGCCCCAAAGCAGCAGGAUGAUGGUGAGGAUCCACAAUGGACCUGAGCAAGGUGGUCCAAGAGCUGUCUGUGGAAGUGAUCCUGACUAACUUUCUGGGAACCUCUGGGGUUGUGGUGGCAUGCUCCCUGGUGCUGCUCUGGCAGAGGCAUGGAGCCAAGAAAACCUCAUCCAUCCCAUGUAACGACAAAACCAGGCCAGGGCUCUUCACUGGGGUGGGCUCGUGCUCAAGGAUGAGGCACUCACGGUGUCACUGGGGCUGUCCCACCAGGACUCAGCGCUCAUCGAUGCCCCGUCUCCUCAGCUGUGAGUUCUGCCUUCUCCUUCAGUGGAAGGGAAAGUGAGGUCCUUGUUUAAUUCUAUUAAUUAAUGUCCUGCAUCAGCUCUUUGUUUCCAUUGAGUCAUACUAAAGGAAUGCAAAAGCGAUGCGAAAAGGUGAUCACUUCCAGGCAGCUGGUGUUCUUGAAAAGACAAAACGGGGACAGUCUGACAAGUUAUUCAUAAGAAAUAAUUAUCUUUAAUAAGCCCUGAUCAAGUGUUUGUACCUGCCAAUGUGCAUCUGUGCUUGGGAAAUGAUCUGCUCAGAGCCUCCCUCCAGGAACAUGAGCCCUCAGUGCAGGGGCCAGGACCAGCUUCCAUCUCCUUCAGACAAAGUGAUCAGCCCCAUUCUUCUGUGGCAUGACCAGCUUUGAUUAGAAGCACCUGAAGCACUGCUUCGGUGCCUCUGACACCAUUUGUCUCUGAAUACACGGCACCGUGCUGCUUACAUCAGCUGCUGCUUGUGGUGGCAGACAAGUGCAUGUGUUUUCACAUCGGGCUUGAAGCAGGAACUUUUACAUAUGAGUUGUGUAAGAGGUGCAAGAAGACCAUUUCUACUUAAAACUGACAGGCAAAAAUAAAUUAUGCAUAUACUUCAUUCAAGUAAUUACAGACAUGAAAAUGUAGAUAUUUUUGUAUGGGAAGCACUAGUCAUAUGCCACCUUUUUAUUACUGAAUUUGUCAGUUAGCACUUUUACAUUUUUGCUGUGAUCUUAGUGAUAAAAAAAAUUUGCUACCAAAAAACUUGCCCAUCCCCUUAUACAACAACCGAACCAGAUGUGUCUCGUGUGCCAGACCAGCUCUGUGGGACAGCCGUGGGGCAGCUGGCGCCGGGAAGCUCAGCCUUCAGGCAGGAACCACCUUGGGCUCGUCCAGUUUGGGUCGACACAACUCUUCCCAGGUCUGCCCUUGACUGUUAGGGCUUCUUUAUUCUGAAUAAAUCAGAGUGAAAACAUGCAACAAUGUAAGCAAGGAACAAUCCAGUCCAAGUCCAUCAGAUUGCUAAAAUGCUCAGAGAUUUGUAUAUGUUUGCAUGUUUUUUUUUUUUCCAGAUGCAGUCCUGUGAUUUCAAAUUAUAAUGAGGUGACCUGAUUUUAAUUGAACUAACCUUUAUAGAUCAGUUGAUAGGCUUAAAUAUUUGCUUAUAUUAGCAGAGAGAAGGAAACCAAAGUCUUUUGCAUAGUUACAAUUGCCAAGGAAACCACUCUGCUGGUAUCCACAUUGGGCAUUUCAUCUGCUCCUGUGUGUGGCUGUUGGAAAACUGUCUGAUUAUAAAAAAAAUGCUUCCAGUCUGACUAGAUGUCUAGUCAAUGUCUGCGUAAUUUUCUAUCAGUUUAUCCAAGAGCUGCUGCUGUCCUGUGAAAAUUUGUGGAGUCGCAGGCUCUUGCUUCUAAAAAGGUAUGCAGCCAAAUGUGAAAUGUGACCCUUGAUGGGAAACUACGAAUUAAAAAUUGUCUGUAAUUAGAGUGUUUUCCAGACAUCUCAUAGUUUUUCCGAAACAACCUUUUAACUCUGUGAUUUAUUUUAGUCUUUACUUUAAACUAGGUCAGUCUUAAGAAUUUCUACUGCUUGAAACACGCUACCAAAUCAAACACAUUCUAACAAAGACUAAUUGGACUCCGUUUAAAAAUAAGCAUUAUGCCUGGAAAAGCAGUUUUCUGAAACUGAGCAAUGUGUUUAAAUGCGUAAUGACACAAAGCUGUACACAAUUUCUAACUCAGAAGUCCCCUGGGGAUUACACGCGCACUUUACUAAAGAGAUACCAAAAUUAAGCACUAAUCCAAGAGGCAACCUCGUUCAUGGUGCUCGUUUUGAGACCAGCCUGUCCCUCUUCAGGCGAGGGUGAUGGACAGAGCCUGGGCCGUGGGCGCAUACUGACGAAUGGUGCUCUGAUUUCAGUGCUCUUCACAGACACCUCAGUUUUCACUCCUCUGUCACCACGUGUGCUAAUGAGUUGUGCUUUGAAUCAACUUCUGAUCUGUGUUUUUUAACCCAGCUCGGAGCAGGCUGUCUGCGGGGCUUUGUGUUUGAGAGCCAGUAUAAUUAUUAC